AUUGAACGCUGGCGGCAGGCCUAACACAUGCAAGUCGAGCGGAUGAAGGGAGCUUGCUCCUGGAUUCAGCGACGGACGGGUGAGUAAUGCCUAGGAAUCUGCCUGGUAGUGGGGGAUAACGUCCGGAAACGGGCGCUAAUACCGCAUACGUCCUGAGGGAGAAAGUGGGGGAUCUUCGGACCUCACGCUAUCAGAUGAGCCUAGGUCGGAUUAGCUAGUUGGUGGGGUAAAGGCCUACCAAGGCGACGAUCCGUAACUGGUCUGAGAGGAUGAUCAGUCACACUGGAACUGAGACACGGUCCAGACUCCUACGGGAGGCAGCAGUGGGGAAUAUUGGACAAUGGGCGAAAGCCUGAUCCAGCCAUGCCGCGUGUGUGAAGAAGGUCUUCGGAUUGUAAAGCACUUUAAGUUGGGAGGAAGGGCAGUAAGUUAAUGCCUUGCUGUUUUGACGUUACCAACAGAAUAAGCACCGGCUAACUUCGUG
RNAcentral lists this ribosomal RNA (484 nucleotides) under uncultured bacterium. RNAcentral's name for it is "partial 16S ribosomal RNA". It matches the Rfam family "Bacterial small subunit ribosomal RNA", at positions 30 to 507 of the family's 1533-position model. The record is from RNAcentral.